GGGGCAGUAGCUCAGAUGGUAGAGCAGUGAUGACUUUCCGCUAUUGGCAGACAAAGUUCCUAUUGUGCGUGUCACAGGUUCGAUUCCUGUCUGCUCCA
RNAcentral lists this transfer RNA (98 nucleotides) under Chryseobacterium sp. RNAcentral's name for it is "tRNA-OTHER". It matches the Rfam family "tRNA". From Rfam's summary of the family: Transfer RNA (tRNA) molecules are approximately 80 nucleotides in length. The record is from RNAcentral. Lineage: Bacteria; Pseudomonadati; Bacteroidota; Flavobacteriia; Flavobacteriales; Weeksellaceae.